UACGAAGGGUGCAAACGUUGUUCGGAAUCAUUGGGCGUAAAGCGCACGUCGGCGGCUUUGCAAGUCGGGUGUGAAAGCCUGGGGCUCAACCCCAGAAGUGCAUUCGAAACUGCAGAGCUUGAGUCUUGGAGAGGGUGGUGGAAUUCCGAGUGUAGAGGUGAAAUUCGUAGAUAUUCGGAGGAACACCAGUGGCGAAGGCGACCACCUGGACAAAGACUGACGCUGAGGUGCGAAAGCGUGGGGAGCAAACAGG
Molecule: ribosomal RNA, 253 nt
Filed under: uncultured bacterium
Lineage: Bacteria
Description: partial 16S ribosomal RNA
Rfam family: Bacterial small subunit ribosomal RNA
Source: RNAcentral